UACGAAGGGGGCUAGCGUUGCUCGGAAUUACUGGGCGUAAAGGGCGCGUAGGCGGACAGUUUAGUCAGAGGUGAAAGCCCAGGGCUCAACCCUGGAAUUGCCUUUGAUACUGGCUGUCUUGAGUACGGGAGAGGUGUGUGGAACUCCCAGUGUAGAGGUGAAAUUCGUAGAUAUUCGCAAGAACACCUGUGGCGAAAGCGGCUCACUGGACCAUUACUGACGCUGAUGCACGAAAGCUAGGGGAGCAAACAGG
RNAcentral lists this ribosomal RNA (253 nucleotides) under uncultured prokaryote. RNAcentral describes it as "partial 16S ribosomal RNA". It matches the Rfam family "Bacterial small subunit ribosomal RNA", at positions 524 to 776 of the family's 1533-position model. The record is from RNAcentral.